Long non-coding RNA from Oreochromis aureus, 979 nucleotides. The record is from Ensembl. Lineage: Eukaryota; Metazoa; Chordata; Actinopteri; Cichliformes; Cichlidae.
GAAACGUCUGUGCUGUGUCUGCUCUGAGCCUAUCCCAGCUGUAGGGUGAGAAGCGGGGUACACCCUGGACAAGUCGCCAGUCUGUCGCAGGGCCAACACACAGGGACAGACAACCAUUCGCACUCACAUUCACCUAUGGGCAAUUUGGAGUAACCAAUUAACCUAUCCCCACUAAGUGCAUGUCUUUGGACAGUGGGAGGAAGCCGGAGUACCCGGAGAGAACAUGCAAACUCCACACAGAAAGACCCCGGCCUGAUGGUGGAAUUGAACUCAGGACCUUCUUGCUGUGCAACAACAGUGCUAACCACCGUGCUGCCCUCUCUUUUCUCAUUUCUAUGAAAAUGUUUCAAAAUAACUGGACAGAAAAUUGAGUGUCUGUCUGCUGAAACACUGCAAGGCUGUUAGAGAAGGGAAAAGGAGAAAGAAUCAGAGAGUGUUGUUUAUGGUCAGUAGUUGAGGUGAAUUAAGGUUAUAAUAAUAAUACUUCUCACAAUAAUAUACCAAUUUUUAUAAGAUACAGGGAAAUGGUUGCUAGAGGGUUACUCUCCAGGGCACUAGAGGUUUUUGCAUUACUAUUUUUAAAGCCUGGUAGAAUUGCAACCACAUUUUCUUUUUUUUGCAUAUGAGGAAUUGUACUUACAUGUAAUGCAUUCAGCUUGUCCUAGGUCACGGUUUCCUUCCACACAUGGCUUUGCAAAAACUGCAUAAAAAGCACUUGCAGCAACAAAAACACAAUAUUCCAGAAACACACUUUACUGAUCUGAUUGGCUGUUGAACUUAAGUUACACUGCUGGAAAUAGUUUAUUUUGAUGCACAAAAUAAACUUCCUGUGGUUGGAAACUACUGUGUGCAACCUUUUUGCAUUUUCAGUUUUGAGGAAUAAAAGUUUGAUAUUUCUCUAACUAGAAAUAACUAUUUUCAUGGGUUUUUUUGUAGUUUAUUGCACCUUUUAUGAAUUGAUGUAGUUACUAUAGACUUA